CUGGAGCGUACCCCAAUGCCACACUGCAGAGGCCCCCACCUCUCCACCAAUGCCCCCAACAGUUCACCUGGUCCUUGCACAGGCCCUGCCCCACAGAGGCAGACACCCUUACCUGCCUGUAGUGGAUCAAGGAACCCAGUCAAUGCAAGCUGAAAAGUAGCCUGAAGGCUUGCUGUUAGGUGGGGCCAGUCCCUAGGGCGGGUUGCCUGCCCUGGCUGAAUUGGGUUAAAUCUGUGCUCUAGUGGGUGUGGCAGACCCCUGGGCAAACAGGUCAAGGGAUGAACCUCAAUGGCACCCACCAGGGUCUUGUCAGCAUGCCUGGACCAGUUCAGAACAAUGGCCCCCACCAAUGUCUCAGUCUCCGGAGAGGUCUCUCUUCUCAUCAAAAUGCCCCGAGAGCCCACCAGGCAAAGAGAAAAAACCCGCACUGAAGUGGAUAGGAGAGGCUGAGACACGAUUGUGGUAACAUGCCAUCGUGAAGAAACAAAAUCCACAGCUUCUCCCUGAGGAGUAAAGGGUUCCUACUCCACAUCAGGCACCUCUGCUUUUAAGACCUGCACCUGAGAGAUGAGUCCCCAAAACAUCUAUCUUUGGAAACGAAUGGGGCUCAUGUCAACGAGAACCACAAAGGCUGUAAGGAACUGAGAAACAGCUCAUAAAGGACUUGUGCUUGGACUCAUUUACCCCAGGGCCCUGAGAGAGGCAGCCAGUCCUCAGAUUUUGUGUAAAAAAGUCUCACUUGCUAAUCUUAAGGCAUGAAGGGCAAGAGCCUGCUGGGAUACUCUCUUGGGAUGGAGGCUGGUGGUCACCGUCUUAUCACUCUCCUUCUGCCUUGCCGAAGCUGGCAGGUUCCAUCCGCAACCCCUACCCGGCCCCUAUGGCAUCCUUUGUUUGGGAGGGAGGGGGGUAUCAUUUUUACCACCUCCCCUGGGCCUCACUCCAGCAGGCAGUACUGUCUUGGUGCUCUCACUCUGCUGUACUCCAGCAACUCCCAGAGGGGAGCUUCUACAUGCUUCCAAUCAGCCUGACUCAGUCCUGACUGAGAUCUUCCCCUUUGGGACACGGAUAGGUCUUGGAACACUCUCAAGUACUGGGAGCCACUGAAAAUAAAGUAGGCUGCUUAGACAAGCACAAAGAUUUGAGAUACAGACUAAAGCUAAGGGCAGGGUUGAACAGCAAGUUUCGUAUCCUACACGAGACCACUCCUUCAGGACUGGGAGAGGCAGCAGUUUCAUCUGAUGCAUAGAAACUAACACAGAGUCAAGCAAAAUGAAGAAACAGAGGAAUUUCUUCAAAGCAAAAGAACAAAAUGAAACCUCAGAAAAAAACCUAAUGAAAAAGGGAGGAACUUGUCCAUGACGACAUGGCUACAUAUUGGCUAAAUGCUCAAAAACUGGAGAUGGAAUUUUUUUGACAAG
RNAcentral lists this long non-coding RNA (1418 nucleotides) under Equus caballus (horse). RNAcentral's name for it is "lncRNA (ENSECAG00000060117.1)". Lineage: Eukaryota; Metazoa; Chordata; Mammalia; Perissodactyla; Equidae. The record is from RNAcentral.